GUCUGCUACCGCCGCCGAAAGAUAGGCGACAGCCGCGGCCGCUCGGCGGUGCGUAGUGAUAUUAUACGAUUCCGUAAAACCACAGCCGAGAAACGGAAUUAUCGCGUCGCGCAAGCGAGGGGGCGGCGGCAGCGGCGGCGGUGACCCGGGGAAACGACGAGAAAAACCGACGCCGCCGUCGACGAGACGGACUGUCAUCGUCCGCGGACGCCGAGCGCGCGUGUGCGCUUUUACGCGCCGCUCGAACCUUUGUUCGCGACAUUAUUUUUUAUCUAUAUGAGCGCAUACGGUCCUCUGAAAAGUUCCGGUAUGCGUAUUGAAGUUCCGGUUUGUCUGUAUAUAUAUAUAUAUAUAUAUAUAUUGGCAUAUGCGUGUGAAGUUUUUGUAGAAAUCGUAUACAUUAUAUGGUAUGAUACCGUAAUGAAGGAAUCCGCGAUCAAUCGUUUUUCCUAUGCCAUCGCAAUUUCACUCGCUCCUCGUCGCCGAAAUUCGAAUGCUUCCCAACACCAGACAGAAUUUAAUGCUCAGUAGAUUUGAACGAUUAACAAUAAAACGUAUACAAAGACUGAAUAGAAUUCAUUACCAUAACCUGGAUGUUGUUGGACGAAGAGAGCACCCCACAUCCAUACGAUUUUAAUGUACCUAGUUACAAUAACUUAACAAUAUCUUUUUUUGCUGUACUACAAUCGCGUGUUUAAUCACGGUCGUUUUGUCUAAACUGUCCGUCGUCUGGAUGAAAUCCGGAUGCCAAGCUAUUUUCUAACAAUAACCACAAAAAUGUUCGAGAGUGAUUAAUGGUGUGAGUUUGGCUUUAUUCUUCUAACGUAAGUUCCUGUGUUUGAAAUUGAAAAAAUACCUGGGCGAGAUUUGAAUAGCAGGUUUAUAUUAUACCAUAAAAUGAUAAAUAAUAAUUGACUGGAAUUUCAAUGCAAUGUGUUUUUUGUUCUGGUCCCUUUAAAAUGCAACU
Long non-coding RNA from Myzus persicae (green peach aphid), 967 nucleotides. RefSeq lists it as uncharacterized. The record is from RefSeq and is a predicted model, not a curated record. Lineage: Eukaryota; Metazoa; Arthropoda; Insecta; Hemiptera; Aphididae. The transcript has 3 exons.